AACUCAUCUUUAAGAAGCUUGGCCAGACAGUGGGUAGGUGCGUGGCCCCUGGAGCAUGUGUAGCUUUCAAGGAGUUUUAAAUUGAACAUGCUCAUGGAUGUGGGAAGGAAACCAGUAAAGACGGAAGGUCUAACACACCUCGCUUGGUACACAGGUCGACACACGCCUCAUCCACCUUGGACUUGUGUUCUUCUGCCGUAAACCAAGGUGUCUUGGAAACCCCAGUUGAACCGUCUCACUGAGGAUUCCUGAUGGAGUAAAGCCACAUCCUCGAAGCAACCAACAUACCCCAUAAAUGAGCUCAUGUCCUCCUCAUCUACAGCGGUACCAGGUGUGAAGCAUUCUUAGUAAAUAUUAGAAAAUACUCAAGUCUCUGCAGG
Molecule: long non-coding RNA, 380 nt
Filed under: Ictidomys tridecemlineatus (thirteen-lined ground squirrel)
Lineage: Eukaryota; Metazoa; Chordata; Mammalia; Rodentia; Sciuridae
Description: lncRNA (ENSSTOG00000032807.1)
Source: RNAcentral